AGACUGUUGACAAAGUGUCCGCUACGGAGAGAACAGGCAGAUCGUAAAGACGCCGUAAAAUCGUCCCUGAUGGCUCGCGCCGCGCCAUAUAUGG
RNAcentral lists this non-coding RNA (94 nucleotides) under Yersinia enterocolitica. RNAcentral describes it as "Yersinia sRNA 224". It matches the Rfam family "Yersinia sRNA 224", at positions 2 to 95 of the family's 107-position model. Lineage: Bacteria; Pseudomonadati; Pseudomonadota; Gammaproteobacteria; Enterobacterales; Yersiniaceae. The record is from RNAcentral.